Molecule: long non-coding RNA, 2990 nt
Organism: Grus americana (Whooping crane)
Lineage: Eukaryota; Metazoa; Chordata; Aves; Gruiformes; Gruidae
Exons: 2
Source: RefSeq, a predicted model, not a curated record
GAGCUUUGCCACUGGGGAAACAGCAGCUGAAGAUUUAGGAAAGGAAUAAUAAUGAGGAGAACAAAAUAAGAGUGUGAGGAAAGUGAGCGUAAGAAAAGAUUUCUCAGCUGCAAAAUACUCGGUAACACUCCCAAUCAAUAUUGGCUCAGCACAGCCCAAAAUCCUGAGACACUGGGAAGACACAGCUCAGAGAUUCCCUAGUCAUUGACUGGGGGUUUUAAUUUAUUCUUUGCAGCCAGACAGUGCUCCCGUUGCCGGCUUGCGGGCACGGCAGCCAACUCUUCCCCCCCCCGCAGCCAAAGGGGCGCUGCCGAAGCGGGGCUGCUUCUGCGAUGGAAGUGUAGGAAGCUCAUGGCUGCAGAGUAAUGCAGACAAAGCAUGAGUGAGAGGGAGACAAAGGGGAUGGAGUCCCAGAAGAUGUGAUCCACCCCGUUUAAAGGAAACGUCCGUAGCCUCUGCAGCUGUGUUUAUGCUGCUUCCCACAAUAGGCACAAAGCCUCUCAUCCCCCCAGGAGAUUUUUACGGCAUUAAUUCACUCUGCACAAAACCCAGCCUGCAAGGCUCCUCUUCAGCAGCGACCUUUUCAUCCCUCCAGCUCCCCCCGUUCCCGAGAGCCCUGCCUGCAGGAGCUGCACCCCUCUGGCUGACCUCCCGCUGCUCUCAAUCAAAUGUCACCUGUACCCAAUGAAGCAGACCCUGAAGUGCCACGAAUGGAUCCCAGGAUUCUUAUUUUCCUUCUCUACAUGAUGAUCCUUCAUGAGCUGGUGAGUGGCUGGAUGGAGUACCAGAAGCAGAUAGCCAAGCCGAAGAAGCAGGCGGGUCCAGUUUGGUCUUCUAGCAACGCCACCCGAUCAAACCACUCCAGCUUCUCCAGGCCUCUGGUCCACUCAGUGCGCAGGGAGAGAUACCGGGAUUGGAGGAAACCAGGGCGGAUCAUCCGGAAAGCAUGAGGAUGCAUCUGUUGGGGAGCAUGGGGAGAGAUUACUGAGCCAGAGGCAACCAUCCCUCAUGAGGUCUGCACUGACUUACCACCUCUCAGCAGCAACCGGCAUGAGACCAUCCUCCGGGCACCGUGAUCUGCAACCUGCAGCUUUCUCCUUUGCACUGAGCCUGGUGCGACCGAGAAGGAACGAGCCCCUUCCUCCUGGGAACCCGUUCCUGCAUGGUGAGGAGCCGGGGUGAAGACACCUCAGCCAGCAGCGGGAUCACUGGAGAUGGGACGAGGCUUUUGCCACCCAACACAGCAAAGUGACUUUUCUUUCUUCUUCCCAAAGGGUUGAGUAGAUGGAGAGUAGAUUUCUUGGGGGAAGAACAAAAUUUGCUCCUGCAUAGGCAACCCCGGGAAGUAUCCUAAUGAUUUUGGUGUCCUCUCCUUCCACCCAAGGACUGCAUGGCUGGUAAGCAGCAUUUCCCAAAGUGACUGGAAUGUCUUUGGUGUCCAGUUUGUCACCGUUCCCAGUAGAACUUGCCUCCACUGGGGCACCCAGAAGUCAGGACACUUUGGAAAUGCUGGCUUCCCAUUAAGUCUCCUUCACUGGGAGUCUGUAUGGGGUUUUUUCUGCUUUUCUUAACCCUUGUUAAAUGAGUUACUCCAGGGUGGAAGGGGAAAGUGCCCUGAACCAGUGACUCAGAGUUAUGCCACCAAACGCAAUUUACUGCAAUGACCUUGUAAUUAGAUUUCUUUGAAGCAUUCCUAGCAGUCGAGCCAAAUGUAAGAGCGACUUUUUAAUGAGCAGAUAGAUGGGAAAGGAAAACAAUAUUGCUCUUUUAUGAGAGUCUGUGAUUUAGGCAUAAAAUUAGAUUUUCAGAGGCAAAAGUCAGUUGUCGCAUCCUGCAGUCAUAUGCAGGACUGGGAAUUGCUGAGCGCUGGAGGGAUUCUGACACUGAGCUCCUAACAGCAAAUGUCCAUGGCCAAACUGCCUGCCUUAUUUGCUGAACAUAAUGUUUGGCUCAAAUGCAGCCUGUUUUUCUCGUUGCCAACCAUUUAUAAACCUGACUCAGGCUCACAGGCGCAUUAUCCAGAAGUAGAUAGGGAAGGGAGUCAGAAUAGAUUAUGCAUUCAUUAUCCAGAAGUAGCCACCAGAUACAUUUGCACAUUUGUCUGCUGCUCAGUUGUUUGCAAAUUGUUCCUGUCGGUUGACGCUGUGUUUGUUCAGUCACCCACAGCAGGAUCACCCAGCCCGAGGUAGAGCUCUGCACCUGAGCUAGGCAUCCAGACCCCUGCGCUGCAAAGAGGGGCACAUGAGGGGCUGUGAUUUGUCUCCUCCAAAAUUAAACAUCAGAAGAAAACUGGCUGAACGGUGCUCUUGAAGUGCCCAGUCCUCUCUCCCAGGCAGGCUGGAUAAGUAACUCAGAUGUAGAACUCUACUGUUAGAGGAGAUUAAGUUUUUGCUUUGGGAGAUGAAGUUCAUGCCUCGUGUUUGGAUAUUUUUGAAAAAGGAGAUAGAAGUAGGAAUUAACACUUUCUGCACAUCUCAAAGCAUAAACUCUCUGCAAAGCUGUGCCUCAGCUCUGUGACACUGUGGCUAUUUCCCAAGGCACCCACUGCCUAUCCCAAUACAUGUAGGUACAUCCACGAGUAACAGAGCAACAAAUGGCGAAGGUAUCAGGAGGAAAAACAUUCAGAAAGUGUUUCUGGGUGGUGGGGAACUUUGCUUCCCUAGAGUUGAGUCUGCCCUGGUCUUAGGAGGGAUGUGCAGCUGGAUGUUCUCCCUGCUUUUCUGCCAGACUGUGUGUGAAUUUGCUGGGGACAAUUGCUGUGCAAAAAGCAUUUAAAUUAAUUACUGAAGUGGUGCAGGAUAGGAUUGGCCUCACUGCAUGGGCUGGGCUCCCAGCCCCAACGGGACAGAUGGACCUGAACAGGGACGGCAGAUGUCCUGACUGCUGCACCCCUAAGGAAUGGGGAAGGGGCAGGAAUGCCUUGCUCUGCUGAUCACAUGCUGGAUUUAUGCCUGUAAAUAUCAUUGUGGUUACUUCCAAUAAACUCUUUU